UCCUAGUACGAGAGGACCGGAGUGAACGAACCUCUGGUGUUCGGGUUGUCACGCCAGUGGCACUGCCCGGUAGCUAAGUUCGGAAUCGAUAACCGCUGAAAGCAUCUAAGCGGGAAGCGAGCCCUGAGAUGAGUCAUCCCUGACCCCUUGAGGGUCCUAAAGGGCCGUUGGAGACCACAACGUUGAUAGGUGGGGUGUGUAAGCGUAGCGAUACGUUGAGCUAACCCAUACUAAUUACCCGUGAGGCUUAACCAUACAACACCCAAGAAGUGUU
Molecule: ribosomal RNA, 274 nt
Filed under: Aeromonas caviae
Lineage: Bacteria; Pseudomonadati; Pseudomonadota; Gammaproteobacteria; Aeromonadales; Aeromonadaceae
Description: partial 23S ribosomal RNA
Rfam family: Bacterial large subunit ribosomal RNA
Source: RNAcentral